GAUGAACGCUGGCGGCGUGCCUAAUACAUGCAAGUCGAGCGAACGGACGAGAAGCUUGCUUCUCUGAUGUUAGCGGCGGACGGGUGAGUAACACGUGGAUAACCUACCUAUAAGACUGGGAUAACUUCGGGAAACCGUAGCUAAUACCGGAUAAUAUUUUGAACCGCAUGGUUCAAAAGUGAAAGACGGUCUUGCUGUCACUUAUAGAUGGAUCCGCGCUGCAUUAGCUAGUUGGUAAGGUAACGGCUUACCAAGGCAACGAUGCAUAGCCGACCUGAGAGGGUGAUCGGCCACACUGGAACUGAGACACGGUCCAGACUCCUACGGGAGGCAGCAGUAGGGAAUCUUCCGCAAUGGGCGAAAGCCUGACGGAGCAACGCCGCGUGAGUGAUGAAGGUCUUCGGAUCGUAAAACUCUGUUAUUAGGGAAGAACAUAUGUGUAAGUAACUGUGCACAUCUUGACGGUACCUAAUCAGAAAGCCACGGCUAACUACGUGCCAGCAGCCGCGGUAAUACGUAGGUGGCAAGCGUUAUCCGGAAUUAUUGGGCGUAAAGCGCGCGUAGGCGGUUUUUUAAGUCUGAUGUGAAAGCCCACGGCUCAACCGUGGAGGGUCAUUGGAAACUGGAAAACUUGAGUGCAGAAGAGGAAAGUGGAAUUCCAUGUGUAGCGGUGAAAUGCGCAGAGAUAUGGAGGAACACCAGUGGCGAAGGCGACUUUCUGGUCUGUAACUGACGCUGAUGUGCGAAAGCGUGGGGAUCAAACAGGAUUAGAUACCCUGGUAGUCCACGCCGUAAACGAUGAGUGCUAAGUGUUAGGGGGUUUCCGCCCCUUAGUGCUGCAGCUAACGCAUUAAGCACUCCGCCUGGGGAGUACGACCGCAAGGUUGAAACUCAAAGGAAUUGACGGGGACCCGCACAAGCGGUGGAGCAUGUGGUUUAAUUCGAAGCAACGCGAAGAACCUUACCAAAUCUUGACACCCUUUGACAACUCUAGAGAUAGAGCCUUCCCCUUCGGGGGACAAAGUGACAGGUGGUGCAUGGUUGUCGUCAGCUCGUGUCGUGAGAUGUUGGGUUAAGUCCCGCAACGAGCGCAACCCUUAAGCUUAGUUGCCAUCAUUAAGUUGGGCACUCUAAGUUGACUGCCGGUGACAAACCGGAGGAAGGUGGGGAUGACGUCAAAUCAUCAUGCCCCUUAUGAUUUGGGCUACACACGUGCUACAAUGGACAAUACAAAGGGCAGCGAAACCGCGAGGUCAAGCAAAUCCCAUAAAGUUGUUCUCAGUUCGGAUUGUAGUCUGCAACUCGACUACAUGAAGCUGGAAUCGCUAGUAAUCGUAGAUCAGCAUGCUACGGUGAAUACGUUCCCGGGUCU
RNAcentral lists this ribosomal RNA (1372 nucleotides) under uncultured bacterium. RNAcentral describes it as "bacterial SSU rRNA". It matches the Rfam family "Bacterial small subunit ribosomal RNA", at positions 28 to 1381 of the family's 1533-position model. The record is from RNAcentral.